AUGAUCGAGAUUUUUUGGAUCUGCCCCACUGGGUCUUUUUAUAUUGGUAUAGAUUUGAUAUCUACAAGCCACAUGGAGGUGCUCUUAAGUGUAUGGACUAUUAUUGAUGGGUUUCCCUGCCUUUCUUCUUUGUUCCGUAUUGAUGUUUAUAUGCAAUUGUUUCAUCUUCCAGCAUGUAUAUUAUAUUUUUUCAGAUUCAGUCAGCAUGCAUGUAAAUACUAUGGCCAAUUGCAUUGUCUUCUAGAAUUAAUUAUGCACCAUGUAAUACAAGCAAAUGACAAAUUUUUAGUCACACACCAUUUUGAUAAGCAUUAUGAUUUUAAAUUUACAAGUGUGAGUGACCUCAUUUUGAAUAUAUUGCCGUCCAUUUCAUAUAUUUGUACUCACUUUGUUGUUUGGCACAACAGAAUUGUCAGUUUUCAAAAUGCAUAUACUUCUUUUUCUACUGAUAUUUUUUGUGCCCACCUUACAUGCCAUCACACAGUUACAUCUUAUAAUUAUGAGUUCUUUGAGAAUUAA
Molecule: ribosomal RNA, 519 nt
Filed under: Triticum aestivum (bread wheat)
Lineage: Eukaryota; Viridiplantae; Streptophyta; Magnoliopsida; Poales; Poaceae
Description: partial small subunit ribosomal RNA
Source: RNAcentral